This 255-nucleotide ribosomal RNA is filed under the name uncultured bacterium. Its description in RNAcentral is "partial 16S ribosomal RNA". It matches the Rfam family "Bacterial small subunit ribosomal RNA", at positions 523 to 776 of the family's 1533-position model. The record is from RNAcentral.
UAGCGAAGGGGGCUAGCGUUGCUCGGAAUCACUGGGCGUAAAGGGUGCGUAGGCGGGUUUCUAAGUCAGAAGGUGAAAGCCUGGAGCUCAACUCCAGAACUGCCUUUGAUACUGGAAGUCUUGAGUAUGGCAGAGGUGAGUGGAACUGCGAGUGUAGAGGUGAAAUUCGUAGAUAUUCGCAAGAACACCAGUGGCGAAGGCGGCUCACUGGGCCAUUACUGACGCUGAGGCACGAAAGCGUGGGGAGCAAACAGG